AUCGCUUCUCGGCCUUUUGGCUCAGAUCAAGUGUAGUAUCUGUUCUUAUCAGUUUAAUAUCUGAUACGUCCCCCAUCGGGGGACUACAUAUUGAAUGGAUUUUUCGAACAGGGAGUCGGAAAUGGGGCUUGCUCCGUCCGCUCCACGCAUCGACCCGGUAUUGCAGUACCUCCGGGAACGGUGCAACACUU
Molecule: small nuclear RNA, 191 nt
Filed under: Salmo salar (Atlantic salmon)
Lineage: Eukaryota; Metazoa; Chordata; Actinopteri; Salmoniformes; Salmonidae
Description: U2 spliceosomal RNA
Rfam family: U2 spliceosomal RNA
About the family: U2 is a small nuclear RNA (snRNA) component of the spliceosome (involved in pre-mRNA splicing). Complementary binding between U2 snRNA (in an area lying towards the 5' end but 3' to hairpin I) and the branchpoint sequence (BPS) of the intron results the bulging out of an unpaired adenosine, on the BPS, which initiates a nucleophilic attack at the intronic 5' splice site, thus starting the first of two transesterification reactions that mediate splicing.
Source: Rfam by way of RNAcentral